GUUCAGAUAGCUCAGUCAGUAGAGCCUUAGCUUCUCAAUCUCAGGGUUGUGGGUUCAAACCCCACAUUGGGGCA
Podarcis lilfordi (Lilford's wall lizard) is the source of this 74-nucleotide non-coding RNA. NCBI's taxonomy places the organism in Eukaryota, Metazoa, Chordata, Lepidosauria, Squamata, Lacertidae. The record is from the annotation of a GenBank genome assembly.